This 347-nucleotide long non-coding RNA is filed under the name Vulpes vulpes (red fox). Its description in RNAcentral is "lncRNA (ENSVVUG00000027382.1)". The record is from RNAcentral. Lineage: Eukaryota; Metazoa; Chordata; Mammalia; Carnivora; Canidae.
GUCAGAAUGCUGAGCAGUAUACACUUCCCCUCCAUGAUAAUAAAGUAACAAGGGGGUUUUCAUUAUACUUUGUGAAGCUUUAGGCAGAGUCAGGCUCCAUUUCUUUACAGAUAAGUCUGGGUGUGCAGAAAGUUCUGGAAACCCUAGGUCAAAUUGAUAGGGAAUGGAGGAUUUUUCUCAAUUUCUAGGUAUCCAGCAUGGUCUAAUGUGUCUUCAUAGUUUCAGCAGAGAGGACGAACACAAAUUUGUUUCUUUGCACUUUGAUAGUUGAGGCUGGUUAGUGAGAUGACAGAAAAGAAAAUGGAGGGAAGGCAGGAAGGCAGGCAGGCAGGCAAGAAAGAAAGAAA